RNAcentral lists this small RNA (212 nucleotides) under Bacillus tuaregi. RNAcentral's name for it is "SR1 sRNA". The stretch from base 2 to 187 matches the Rfam family "SR1 sRNA". Lineage: Bacteria; Bacillati; Bacillota; Bacilli; Caryophanales; Bacillaceae. The record is from RNAcentral.
UAAAGAAAUUAAAACGCUUACUAAUUGAAGGAUUAAAUACAAGGGAGAUGAAAUGAUGGGUACUAUCGUAUGUCAAGUUUGCAAUUCAACAAUUGAUUACUUUGAAGAUGAAAAGGUCACGGUACUUUAUUCUUCAAUUUGUACUUGUAGCAAACAUGAUCAUAAAGAAGAAAAAUAAUAGUUGUUCAAAUAAAAAAGCAUGCAGACGGCAU